Small nucleolar RNA from Erinaceus europaeus (western European hedgehog), 102 nucleotides. NCBI's taxonomy places the organism in Eukaryota, Metazoa, Chordata, Mammalia, Eulipotyphla, Erinaceidae. The record is from Ensembl.
UUCCUUUUGUAGUUCAUAGGCGUGAUUAUUGGGUUCUCCUGUGGUUGCGUGUGUUGUGCCACCCAUAAGCCUUGUUAUAGCAUUGGCACAUUAUGUCUAACA